This 583-nucleotide long non-coding RNA is filed under the name Heterocephalus glaber (naked mole-rat). RNAcentral's name for it is "lncRNA (ENSHGLG00100036611.1)". Lineage: Eukaryota; Metazoa; Chordata; Mammalia; Rodentia; Bathyergidae. The record is from RNAcentral.
CGGCGCCCGCGCACAGCGGCGGCCGGGCGGAGGCGCCGGCCGAGCGGGCGCCCGCGGGCUGCGUAACGCCCUGUCGAAAGCGGACGCCAUAUUUUUUUGUGGCUGUGUCGACACAGAGCGACGUAGACAUGUUUUCCUCUCCUCCUCGGUCUGGCUUGCCUCCGCGCCAACUUGCCGUCAGAACUCUUCUGGGGAGGCCGCCGAGCCCUGCUUGGCUUGCUCGGAGAACACCCGCAUUCCACGUCUGCCGCUCCAUCCGCUGGACAGCCAGCCAGCUCUGAAGACACCCUCUGUUGUUACCGUGAAUAAAACAGAAUCGUUCAUGACCCCAGGACUGAUGGCUCCCUGCUGACCUGUUGAAUCUGUCUCCCCUUGGACCGUUAUCCCACACCGCUGGAUGGGAGCGCAUCUGCCGGACCCACCUCUGAAGGUCAGCACCAAGCCCAGAACCGGGGCCAGAGCAAGUGCUCAGCAAACAUCUGGCAGAUGAACAAGCGGGCGCUCGCCUCUCCCAGCCACCGGGCAGCCCCAGAAGCAGGUGUCAUUGUGCUCCCGCCACCAGACUGAGAAACCAGACUCAGAG